Molecule: ribosomal RNA, 450 nt
Filed under: uncultured bacterium
Lineage: Bacteria
Description: partial 16S ribosomal RNA
Rfam family: Bacterial small subunit ribosomal RNA
Source: RNAcentral
AGCGAACGCUGGCGGCAGGCUUAACACAUGCAAGUCGAACGCAUCCUUCGGGAUGAGUGGCAGACGGGUGAGUAACGCGUGGGAACGUGCCCUCCGGUUCGGGAUAACCCAGGGAAACUUGGGCUAAUACCGGAUACGUGCUUAUGGCAGAAAGGUUUACUGCCGGAGGAUCGGCCCGCGUCUGAUUAGCUAGUUGGUGGGGUAACGGCCUACCAAGGCUGCGAUCAGUAGCUGGUCUGAGAGGAUGAUCAGCCACACUGGGACUGAGACACGGCCCAGACUCCUACGGGAGGCAGCAGUGGGGAAUAUUGGACAAUGGGCGCAAGCCUGAUCCAGCCAUGCCGCGUGAGUGGUGAAGGCCUUAGGGUUGUAAGGCUCUUUCGUCCGGGACGAUAAUGACGGUACCGGAAGAAGAAGCCCCGGCUAACUUCGUGCCAGCAGCCGCGGUAA